Molecule: ribosomal RNA, 724 nt
Filed under: Klebsiella oxytoca
Lineage: Bacteria; Pseudomonadati; Pseudomonadota; Gammaproteobacteria; Enterobacterales; Enterobacteriaceae
Description: bacterial SSU rRNA
Rfam family: Bacterial small subunit ribosomal RNA
Source: RNAcentral
UGCAAGUCGACGGUAGCACAGAGAGCUUGCUCUCGGGUGACGAGUGGCGGACGGGUGAGUAAUGUCUGGGAAACUGCCUGAUGGAGGGGGAUAACUACUGGAAACGGUAGCUAAUACCGCAUAACGUCGCAAGACCAAAGAGGGGGACCUUCGGGCCUCUUGCCAUCAGAUGUGCCCAGAUGGGAUUAGCUAGUAGGUGGGGUAACGGCUCACCUAGGCGACGAUCCCUAGCUGGUCUGAGAGGAUGACCAGCCACACUGGAACUGAGACACGGUCCAGACUCCUACGGGAGGCAGCAGUGGGGAAUAUUGCACAAUGGGCGCAAGCCUGAUGCAGCCAUGCCGCGUGUAUGAAGAAGGCCUUCGGGUUGUAAAGUACUUUCAGCGGGGAGGAAGGCGAUAAGGUUAAUAACCUUGUCGAUUGACGUUACCCGCAGAAGAAGCACCGGCUAACUCCGUGCCAGCAGCCGCGGUAAUACGGAGGGUGCAAGCGUUAAUCGGAAUUACUGGGCGUAAAGCGCACGCAGGCGGUCUGUCAAGUCGGAUGUGAAAUCCCCGGGCUCAACCUGGGAACUGCAUUCGAAACUGGCAGGCUGGAGUCUUGUAGAGGGGGGUAGAAUUCCAGGUGUAGCGGUGAAAUGCGUAGAGAUCUGGAGGAAUACCGGCGGCGAGGCAGCCCCCCGGUAAAAAGACUGACGCUCAGGUGCUAAAGCGUGGGGAGCAAA